UCGUAGGAGCCAUGGAUCGUCUCUGGUUUCAACAGAUUAUUCUUGUCCCAGACCCCUUUUCACCAUAUUUCCCCCUCGAACCAAAGCAGCCCCUCUCAGAAUCUACCACUACAAGCUCAUCAUCUUCAAGCCUCUCUUUAUCAUCUGUUGCAGACCAAGAAAAACCAGCGCUGGUAAACAGUAAUAAUAAUAAUAAUAAUAAAAGAAUGAAAAAGAACUACGCUCAUCAAGUUCAACACUCUUGAAAUAUGUUUCUUAUUUUUUGUUUCAUUUUUGCUGUUGUUUUUCAUGGUGAUCAAAUUCUUAGGAUGAUCCUAAAAAAGAGGAAAAACAAUUGAAGAAAAGAUCAAGAAGAGGGAACCUUAGUCGUUCACAUUCUCCAUCUCAAUCGACUCAUAAACAUCAGAGGAUUAACCAUCAAUGCAAACUGCAAAAAUCCACGAGUUGUAGGAGCUUGAAAGACUUGGAACUGGAAGAAGUAAAAGGGUUCAUGGAUCUUGGA
RNAcentral lists this long non-coding RNA (502 nucleotides) under Gossypium raimondii (Peruvian cotton). Its description in RNAcentral is "long non-coding RNA (GRAI_LNC007779)". Lineage: Eukaryota; Viridiplantae; Streptophyta; Magnoliopsida; Malvales; Malvaceae. The record is from RNAcentral.